GAUGAACGCUGGCGGCGUGCCUAAUACAUGCAAGUCGAGCAACGGACGAGAAGCUUGCUUCUCUGAUGUUAGCGGCGGACGGGUGAGUAACACGUGGAUAACCUACCUAUAAGACUGGGAUAACUUCGGGAAACCGUAGCUAAUACCGGAUAAUAUUUUGAACCGCAUGGUUCAAAAGUGAAAGACGGUCUUGCUGUCACUUAUAGAUGGAUCCGCGCUGCAUUAGCUAGUUGGUAAGGUAACGGCUUACCAAGGCAACGAUGCAUAGCCGACCUGAGAGGGUGAUCGGCCACACUGGAACUGAGACACGGUCCAGACUCCUACGGGAGGCAGCAGUAGGGAAUCUUCCGCAAUGGGCGAAAGCCUGACGGAGCAACGCCGCGUGAGUGAUGAAGGUCUUCGGAUCGUAAAACUCUGUUAUUAGGGAAGAACAUAUGUGUAAGUAACUGUGCACAUCUUGACGGUACCUAAUCAGAAAGCCACGGCUAACUACGUG
This 496-nucleotide ribosomal RNA is filed under the name uncultured bacterium. Its description in RNAcentral is "partial 16S ribosomal RNA". It matches the Rfam family "Bacterial small subunit ribosomal RNA", at positions 28 to 507 of the family's 1533-position model. The record is from RNAcentral.